RNAcentral lists this transfer RNA (75 nucleotides) under Candidatus Peregrinibacteria bacterium CG10_big_fil_rev_8_21_14_0_10_49_10. RNAcentral's name for it is "tRNA-Glu". It matches the Rfam family "tRNA". Rfam says of the family: Transfer RNA (tRNA) molecules are approximately 80 nucleotides in length. Their secondary structure includes four short double-helical elements and three loops (D, anti-codon, and T loops). Lineage: Bacteria; Candidatus Peregrinibacteriota. The record is from RNAcentral.
GGCCCGUUCGUCUAGUGGUUAGGACACCAGGUUCUCAUCCUGGAAACGGGGGUUCGAUUCCCCCACGGGCUGCCA